GAACUUUCCAGAGAUGGAUUGGUGCCUUUCGGGAACUUAGAUACAGGUGCUGCAUGGCUGUCGUCAGCUCGUGUCGUGAGAUGUUGGGUUAAGUCCCGNAACGAGCGCAACCCUUUUCCUUAUUUGCCAGCGGGUCAUGCCGGGAACUUUAAGGAUACUGCCAGUGACAAACUGGAGGAAGGCGGGGACGACGUCAAGUCAUCAUGGCCCUUACGGCCAGGGCUACACACGUGCUACAAUGGUCGGUACAAAGGGUUGCUACCUCGCGAGAGGAUGCUAAUCUCAAAAAGCCGAUCGUAGUCCGGAUCGCAGUCUGCAACUCGACUGCGUGAAGUCGGAAUCGCUAGUAAUCGCGGAUCAGAAUGCCGCGGUGAAUACGUUCCCGGGCCUUGUACACACCGCCCGUCACACCAUGGGAGUUUGUUGCACCAGAAGUAGGUAGUCUAACCGCAAGGAGGACGCUUACCACGGUGUGGCCGAUGACUGGGGUGAAGUCGUAACAAGGUAGGCGUAGAUGA
RNAcentral lists this ribosomal RNA (518 nucleotides) under uncultured bacterium. Its description in RNAcentral is "bacterial SSU rRNA". It matches the Rfam family "Bacterial small subunit ribosomal RNA", at positions 993 to 1509 of the family's 1533-position model. The record is from RNAcentral.